AUGGUCAUUUUGUCUUGUUCUGCUGAAACCUGAGUGCUCUUGACUGCUGCCUCUUGGUGUUGGGAUGGGGAGAGUCAUCUAUCCAGACCCAGCUGCCACAGCUCUGCUUUUCCAAGCCAGCUCUCCUUGGGAAUGGGAUUUUCUUGCCUGGGCAUUUGUGGCUGCAAAUGGAGGAUCGUUUCCAUCGUGGAGUCCAUACAAAGGUCCAGGAGAAGAUCCUAAGCAGUCAGGCAAAGAUCUGCUCACAGGCUUUCAGAAGCUUUCAGGGAUGUAAACAGGUUCUCACUGCUCCUUGGGUAGCUGGCAGCUCACAGGUCACAUCAUGGGGAAGCCACCCUGCCUGUGGGGAUGAUGUCCCAGGCCUCGCAGGCACUGUUGAGGAAAAAUAAUUUAUGCUCUUGUGACAUACAAGAUGCUCAAAGCCUAUCACCAGUGUUAAUUAAUCCUUAGACUGAUGAGGGAGGUAAGCAUUAUUACAUUAUAAAAGUUUGAAAUUUUUUAAGUGUUUUAUAUACAUGAGGCAGUUAGGCUUAAGUUGUUUCAAGGUCACAGAGAAGUGGAAGUAAGGAGUCUCUUCUUUCUAGCCCUGUGUCCCGACCACUGCUCAGCUAUCCCAGUUUUUGUUUGCUAAACCCUCCCAUAUCCCACUAUUAGUAGUUGUAGUAGCAGUAGUAGUGUAGUCUUGAAAUAGCAAAACGCUGUAGUGCAGUAGCUGUCAUUUCUUUUUUAUUUCACUUUUUGUUUUCAAAGGAGGGCAGCACAGCAGCUCUCAUGUGUAUCAUUAUAAUCGUACCUGUGCUGCAUUUCCAAGGUUUGGAGUUUCUUUCCCUCUUUUUAAUUUCCUUUAUUUUCUUUCAGGAGGAAAGGGAGCGUUUUGGCUGCUCUGCAGGCAGCCCAUAUAAAUAUAUAUGUAAAAUUAUCCUCAUACUGCAGGAUAGAUAGU
Molecule: long non-coding RNA, 943 nt
Organism: Pogoniulus pusillus (Red-fronted tinkerbird)
Lineage: Eukaryota; Metazoa; Chordata; Aves; Piciformes; Lybiidae
Exons: 4
Source: RefSeq, a predicted model, not a curated record